RNAcentral lists this ribosomal RNA (400 nucleotides) under uncultured microorganism. Its description in RNAcentral is "bacterial SSU rRNA". It matches the Rfam family "Archaeal small subunit ribosomal RNA", at positions 330 to 687 of the family's 1478-position model. The record is from RNAcentral.
GCGCAGCAGUCGCGAAACCUUCGCAAUGCAGGAAACUGCGACGAGGGAACUCCAAGUGCCUACGCUCAGCGUAGGCUGUUCUCAAGCCUAGAAAGCUUGAGGAGUAAGGGCUGGGUAAGACGGGUGCCAUCUGUGGUAGCAGUCAAUAGAUUCGAUUUGUUACUGCAAGGCAUAAGCCGCCGCGGUAAUACCCGCAGCCCAAGUGGUGGCCGCUUUUAUUGGGCCUAAAGCGUCCGUAGCCGGCCCGGUAAAUGCCUGGGGUAAAUCGUGGAGCCCAACUUCACGAAUUCCGGGUAGACUGCCGAGCUCGGGACCGGAAGAGGGACGAGGGUACUUCGAGGGGUAGGGGUGAAAAUUUCCUUCCAUUAACGCUUUGCGCGAAGCGGAAAGGGUUAUCACG